AUGAGCCAGCAAAUCCCGUCAGCAGGUGCUGGUGGCUCAAGCACUGCCUCAGUAGCAGCACCUGCACUCCCUCAAGUUGAUUCGGAUGACCCUGCGUGGAAGUAUUGCACUCUUCCAGAUGUGAACAAGAAGCAUUGGCAGCGAUGCAACUUUUGUGGCAAGAUAUGCACAGCUGGCAUUACAAGGAUAAAGUUUCACCUUUCACAAAUAACAAAUUGUGGUGUCUUACCAUGCAAGAAGGUUCCUAGUGAUGUCAGGCUGGAGAUGAUAGCUUUGCUCCUAAAGAGUGCUGAGCUGAAGGAAAAAAAGAUCGAGGGAUUGGAGGCGCUCAGAUCUAGUGUUGACUUAGAUCACUCCGAUGGAGAACAAGGAACUGAUGAAGAAGAUGGCAAUCAGGUUGUGAUUUUGAGGUCAAAACCAGGCACAAGCAGCUCAAUGGGUGGCCCUAUGGACAAAUUCUGCAAGCCUAGUAUAGAAGAAACUGUCAAGAGGAAGCAAAAAAGAAAUUGUGAAUCCGAAAAGGUUCAGUCGAAGUUGUCAACUCGGGAAAGACAACAGAGGAGGGAUAGAGCUUGUGGAUAUAUAUGUCAAUUUUUCUAUGAAGCUAGCAUCCCACAUAACACUGUCACACUUCCUAGCUUUGCAUGUAUGCUUCAGGCCAUUGGAGAUGUUGGCACAAACUUCGAUGGGCCUACUGCAUAUGAGAUGAGUGGACCAUUCUUGCAGAAAAGGAAGAAGAAAGUGUUAGAUUCAUUCAAACCACAUAAGCAAGCAUGGGAGCACACAGGUUGUACCGUAAUGACAGAUGCAUGGACAGAUAAAAAGGGCAGGGGGGUAAUGAACCUAGUUGUGCAUAGUUCUCAAGGAGUCAUAUUCUUGAAUUCAGUUGAUUGUUCAUCUGUCCAAAAAAAUGGCAAAUACAUCUUUGACCUCGUUGAUAAUUGCAUUGAAUAUAUAGGGGCAGACAAAGUCGUUCAAGUGGUGACCGACAAUGCUAGUGUCAAUGUAGCAGCAGCAAGUCUAAUGAAAGCAAAGCGACCUUCCAUUUUUUGGAAUGGAUGUGCAGCCCAUUGUAUUGAUCUCAUGUUGGAGGACAUAGGGAAGCUUGGAUCGGUUGACAAAAUAAUUACCCAAGCAAGACAAGUAACGGUGUUCUUGUAUGCUCACACAAGGGUGUUAUCUCUGAUGAGGAAAACACUUGGGAAAGACUUGGUACGGUCAGGUAUUACUAGGUUUGCCACGGCUUAUCUCAAUCUUAAAAGCUUGCAAGACAACAAGAAGGAAAUGCUUAAACUAUUCAGAUUGGAUGAGCUACAUGAAAUGGGUUACUUAGAGAAGGACAAGGGGAAGAUGGCUCACAAAACGGUGCAACCAGAAGCCUUCUGGAAAGGUGUUGGCGUUGCUGUCAACUACUUUGAGCCAAUGGCUAAUGUGCUAAGAAGAAUGGAUAGUGAUGUGCCCGCAAUGGGAUUCUUAUAUGGUUGUAUGUUGGAUGCAAAAAAGGAAAUUGCUGCAAGUUUUGAUAAUGACGAGAGUCGCUUCAAAUGUGUUAUUGAUAUCAUUGACAAGAGAUGGGACAGCAAACUCAAGUCGCCAUUACAUUUGGCUGGGUACUUUCUGAACCCCUACUAUUAUUAUCCAAACAAGGUUGUGAUAGAGAGGGAUGGAUCAUUUAGAGCAGCCGUGGUCCAUUGCCUCACAAGGAUGAUUGAAGCUCAAAAAACUCAAGAUGAGCUUAUUGAUGAACUUGACAAAUACGAGACGGAGGAAGAUUCCUUUGGAAUGGACAUUGCUGUAUGA
RNAcentral lists this ribosomal RNA (1800 nucleotides) under Triticum aestivum (bread wheat). RNAcentral describes it as "partial small subunit ribosomal RNA". The record is from RNAcentral. Lineage: Eukaryota; Viridiplantae; Streptophyta; Magnoliopsida; Poales; Poaceae.